AUGGGGAAGAAAAAUCCAAAUGCACGUCGGUUUGCCUCAAGCGAACGUGCCCCGUCACUGGAUGUAACAAACUCACCUCUAAAUGCAAAUGCAGAGAGUAGUUCUGCUGCUCGACAGAAAGGUAACCAAUCAUGGUACAUCAGAUUGUCUGAUGAAAAGAAAGCAGAGCUCCUCGAGAAGCGUCGUGUCGCCCGGCGUGAGAAGAAGACUGCAGCCGUACAAAGUGUAAACCAUGCCCGGGUAUCACAAGAACAUGCUUCUUCUGUGGGGUCUGAGCAAUUUGUCCCUUUGAGCAACAUCACCAACACACAUAUAGAUGUUGCAGUAUGUACGGCGGCAAGCUCCGCGGGUACUGCUCAUCUUCACCAAAACAAUAUUGCAGGCAAAAAAAGAAGUCCACAAAGUUGGUAUGCUGGACUAUCCGACGAGCGGCGAGCUGAGUACAUACACAAACAGAAGAUGGCCCGACUCGCAAGGAAAGCAGCAACUGCCGGGGUGAAUGUCCAAUUGCCUACAUCAUCUGCCUCGCAAACUUCAUCUGGUCCUUCUGUGUGUCGCUGCUGUCAGUAUCGGGCUUACUGCUUGGAGAACAGGAGGAGCGUCAGGGCUCUUUGCUGCAUCUGUGGGGGUACUGGCCAGAAGUAG
RNAcentral lists this ribosomal RNA (645 nucleotides) under Triticum aestivum (bread wheat). Its description in RNAcentral is "partial small subunit ribosomal RNA". Lineage: Eukaryota; Viridiplantae; Streptophyta; Magnoliopsida; Poales; Poaceae. The record is from RNAcentral.